RNAcentral lists this ribosomal RNA (321 nucleotides) under Proteus mirabilis. RNAcentral's name for it is "partial 23S ribosomal RNA". It matches the Rfam family "Bacterial large subunit ribosomal RNA", at positions 505 to 652 of the family's 2925-position model. The record is from RNAcentral. Lineage: Bacteria; Pseudomonadati; Pseudomonadota; Gammaproteobacteria; Enterobacterales; Morganellaceae.
GAGGGAAAGGCGAAAAGAACCCCGGCGAGGGGAGUGAAAAAGAACCUGAAACCGUGUACGUACAAGCAGUAGGAGCCCCAUCACUCAAGUGCCUCGCACUGAGUGAUGCAAGAACAUCACCGAAAAUAGCGCCGAAUUUGCUAACAAGGUUGGUCGAUUUUUUCAAGCCGUCGCGCAGUGUACCUAGAAGUACACGAGCAACGGAAGUUAAAAAAUCGGGCAAGAUUGAACGCAAAGGCAAGCGGGACAUUUGAGGAUGGGGUGACUGCGUACCUUUUGUAUAAUGGGUCAGCGACUUAUAUUCUGUAGCAAGGUUAACCG